UUAAGCGACUAAGCGUACACGGUGGAUGCCCUGGCAGUCAGAGGCGAUGAAGGACGUGCUAAUCUGCGAAAAGCGCCGGCGAGGUGAUAUGAACCUUUGACCCGGCGAUGUCCGAAUGGGGAAACCCAGUGCAAUUCGUUGCACUAUCGUUAACUGAAUACAUAGGUUAACGAGGCGAACCGGGGGAACUGAAACAUCUAAGUACCCCGAGGAAAAGAAAUCAACCGAGAUUCCCCCAGUAGCGGCGAGCGAACGGGGAGGAGCCCAGAGUCUGAAUCAGUUUGUGUGUUAGUGGAAGCGUCUGGAAAGUCGCACGAUACAGGGUGAAAGUCCCGUACACGAAAAUGCACAGGCUGUGAACUCGAAGAGUAGGGCGGGACACGUGGUAUCCUGUCUGAAUAUGGGGGGACCAUCCUCCAAGGCUAAAUACUCCUGACUGACCGAUAGUGAACCAGUACCGUGAGGGAAAGGCGAAAAGAACCCCGGCGAGGGGAGUGAAAAAGAACCUGAAACCGUGUACGUACAAGCAGUGGGAGCAUCCUUCGGGGUGUGACUGCGUACCUUUUGUAUAAUGGGUCAGCGACUUAUAUUCUGUAGCAAGGUUAACCGAAUAGGGGAGCCGAAGGGAAACCGAGUCUUAACUGGGCGUUAAGUUGCAGGGUAUAGACCCGAAACCCGGUGAUCUAGCCAUGGGCAGGUUGAAGGUUGGGUAACACUAACUGGAGGACCGAACCGACUAAUGUUGAAAAAUUAGCGGAUGACCUGUGGCUGGGGGUGAAAGGCCAAUCAAACCGGGAGAUAGCUGGUUCUCCCCGAAAGCUAUUUAGGUAGCGCCUCGUGAACUCAUCUUCGGGGGUAGAGCACUGUUUCGGCUAGGGGGUCAUCCCGACUUACCAACCCGAUGCAAACUGCGAAUACCGAAGAAUGUUAUCACGGGAGACACACGGCGGGUGCUAACGUCCGUCGUGAAGAGGGAAACAACCCAGACCGCCAGCUAAGGUCCCAAAGUCAUGGUUAAGUGGGAAACGAUGUGGGAAGGCCCAGACAGCCAGGAUGUUGGCUUAGAAGCAGCCAUCAUUUAAAGAAAGCGUAAUAGCUCACUGGUCGAGUCGGCCUGCGCGGAAGAUGUAACGGGGCUAAACCAUGCACCGAAGCUGCGGCAGCGGCGCUUAGGCGUUGUUGGGUAGGGGAGCGUUCUGUAAGCCGUCGAAGGUGGCCUGUGAGGGCUGCUGGAGGUAUCAGAAGUGCGAAUGCUGACAUAAGUAACGAUAAAGCGGGUGAAAAGCCCGCUCGCCGGAAGACCAAGGGUUCCUGUCCAACGUUAAUCGGGGCAGGGUGAGUCGACCCCUAAGGCGAGGCCGAAAGGCGUAGUCGAUGGGAAACAGGUUAAUAUUCCUGUACUUGGUGUUACUGCGAAGGGGGGACGGAGAAGGCUAUGUUAGCCGGGCGACGGUUGUCCCGGUUUAAGCAUGUAGGCGGAGGUUCCAGGUAAAUCCGGUACCUUUUAACGCUGAGGUGUGAUGACGAGGCACUACGGUGCUGAAGUAACAAAUGCCCUGCUUCCAGGAAAAGCCUCUAAGCAUCAGGUAACACGAAAUCGUACCCCAAACCGACACAGGUGGUCAGGUAGAGAAUACCAAGGCGCUUGAGAGAACUCGGGUGAAGGAACUAGGCAAAAUGGUGCCGUAACUUCGGGAGAAGGCACGCUGACAUGUAGGUGAAGCCCCUGCGGGUGGAGCUGAAGUCAGUCGAAGAUACCAGCUGGCUGCAACUGUUUAUUAAAAACACAGCACUGUGCAAACACGAAAGUGGACGUAUACGGUGUGACGCCUGCCCGGUGCCGGAAGGUUAAUUGAUGGGGUUAUCCGUAAGGAGAAGCUCUUGAUCGAAGCCCCGGUAAACGGCGGCCGUAACUAUAACGGUCCUAAGGUAGCGAAAUUCCUUGUCGGGU
RNAcentral lists this ribosomal RNA (1951 nucleotides) under human gut metagenome. RNAcentral's name for it is "bacterial LSU rRNA". It matches the Rfam family "Bacterial large subunit ribosomal RNA", at positions 1 to 1977 of the family's 2925-position model. The record is from RNAcentral.